RNAcentral lists this long non-coding RNA (383 nucleotides) under Marmota monax (woodchuck). The stretch from base 116 to 185 matches the Rfam family "Small nucleolar RNA SNORD104". The record is from RNAcentral. Lineage: Eukaryota; Metazoa; Chordata; Mammalia; Rodentia; Sciuridae.
CUUUAAGUAAAAGCCACAGGCACUUCUCAGCCUUUCGGCGGCGGCAAGGUGAGGUGCCCUCUGUUCUGUUGUGUGGCGGAGCAGGCCCGGGACGUGGGUGGGAGGCUUUCAGCCAGCCGUGAUGACAUUCCAAAUAAAGCACGUGUUAGACUGCUGACGCUGGUGAUGCGAACUGUAGUCUGAGCCGGCUGUCGCGGCGGUGGGUGAGGAAGGGCGGGCGGGUUCACUCCCUCUGACCCACUGCUGUUGCUUUUGCAGGUCUGGCCUUGCGGAGGACGUCGGAUUUAAUCGAUAAUUUCAGCGCUUCCGCACUCCCUAAUUUCCAACCUUCUCAAUAAAAUGAUUUGACCCAGAGCUGGUGUGUGUGUCUCCCUCAUUGGCGA